AUUAAUGUGCAUGUGUGAAGAUUCAAAACAGAUGGGGAAAAGGCCAAGGAUUCUUUGUUGCUAAGUGCGUUUCUAUGACAACUGCAAUAUGUACGUUAUGCGUGAGCAAUCAUUUGUUCCAGCUGCUAGAUCAUUAAAGGGCCAGCACUUCCCUGAGCACUGGGAAUGUUAUUUAUGGCUUAUUUACUUUUUCUUUACCCCUCUUUAAGCUCAGGUUCAACAGGUAAGACUUGAUGAAUACGUGAAAAUCUCAGUCAGUUGCAGCAUGCUACACCAUAGGACUGGUUGAGUCUGGAUUACAUGGAAUCAGAUUUGUGGAUCUGGAUUAGUUCUGGAACAGAGAUACAAUCCUGGAACCUCAAUACAGAUCAACAUCUGUUGCUAGUGACAUUGAAGCUCAUGUUGCGUAUUGGCUGGUGAAAGAGAACAAAGCGAAGUGUCUGCUCUACGUUCUGGAUCCUGUCCAUCUUGCUUCACCAUAUGGAGUGAUAAUGGGCUCUGCUAUUCAGAUCUUAUUUUGUUCUUUGAGAAAUAUGUAAAGGAUGGUAUUUAUUAAAUUCAGUGGAAAGUGUCAAGAACAAGGCUAAGUAUUCUGCAAACUGAGCUUCCUUCAGUGCCUGAACAUCUCUGUAGCUGACUUUCUGGAAGAUUAGGCUCAGCAGCUGUCUG
This 669-nucleotide long non-coding RNA is filed under the name Gallus gallus (chicken). RNAcentral's name for it is "long non-coding RNA NONGGAT011628". The record is from RNAcentral. Lineage: Eukaryota; Metazoa; Chordata; Aves; Galliformes; Phasianidae.